ACCCAUUCCCAUUCAGUCGUCCAGUGUCGGUCGAGGAGUAGGUAUCUGAUUCGGUUGUUGGGUUGUACUUGUUCGUAGUUCUCUUAUCACAAAAGAAGACUAAUAUAACUGCCAAUUUUUUUUUUUUAUUAAAUUCUUGAAUAGCAAUAUAUUGUGCACUUUUUUUAAUUUGUAAAUGACCAAAACCGACCGUUUGGGAUUUUUGGAUUUACCGUGAGCAGUGUUUUGUAAUGGCUGUGGUCGGCCCAAGCCGACACUCGAGGGUGUCAAUGUCGCUGAUGCAGGGCUCGACAAACGGGCCAGUCGGCAACCACCAGCAAGCUAAUACUUCACAACAAUUUUUUCACGCUCAACAACAAUCAUCGCAUCAUACAGCUCAAUCAGCUACUACGCAUUCGGUUGAUUACAAACCGGACCGACCAAUUGGAUAUGGAGCAUUUGGAGUAGUCUGGGCCGUAACGGAUCCCCGAGACGGACGACGAGUAGCGUUAAAAAAACUGCCCAACGUUUUCCAAUCACUAGUCUCUUCGAAAAGAGUGUUCAGAGAACUGAAAAUGUUGUGCAAUUUCAAACAUGAAAAUGUCUUGUCUGCCCUUGACAUUCUGCAACCGCCUCAUUUGGAUUUCUUUCAAGAAAUAUACGUGAUAACCGAAUUGAUGCAGAGCGACUUGCAUAAAAUAAUCGUGUCGCCGCAGCAACUUUCGCCGGACCACAUCAAAGUUUUCCUCUACCAGAUCCUCCGAGGUCUUAAAUAUCUGCAUUCGGCACGGAUAUUGCACAGAGACAUCAAGCCAGGCAAUUUACUUGUAAACAGUAAUUGCAUAUUAAAAAUAUGCGAUUUUGGUCUGGCCAGAGUAGAAGAACCAGACGAAACAAAACACAUGACCCAAGAAGUAGUAACACAGUACUACAGAGCACCAGAAAUCCUAAUGGGUGCCAAACACUACACUGCCGCAAUAGAUGUCUGGAGCGUCGGGUGUAUAUUUGCAGAACUUGUUACUAGGCGAAUAUUGUUCCAGGGCCAAGAUACGGUCCAACAACUCGAGUUGAUAACAGACUUAUUGGGAACACCAACAAUGGAAGACAUGGCCCAUGCAUGUCCCGCGGCUCGUUCGCAUAUGCUCAUACGACGCAUGAAGAAACCUUCUAUGUCCCUACUGUAUUCCCUAUCUUCAUUAAUGACCCAUGAAGCAGUACAUUUAAUUUCUCAAAUGCUAGUUUUCAAUCCAGAUAAACGGAUGUCAGUAAUGGAUGCGUUAGUCCAUCCAUACAUUGACGAAGGCCGCCUGAGGUAUCAUAGUUGCAUGUGCAAGUGUUGUUUUACAGUACCUUUAACUGGCCUCAGACACUUUUGUAUGGAUUAUGAACCGGUCGCUCCGCAAACAUUUGAUGAUAAAUGGGAAAAGAAAUUAUCAAAUGUGCAACAAGUCAAAGAAGAACUUCACAAAUUCAUUGGCGACCAAUUGAGUAGCCAUCGUGUGCCGUUGUGCAUAAAUCCCCAGUCUGCGGCAUUUAAAAGUUUCUCGAGGUAAGACUGAGAAACAUCUGACACUUCUGAGUUCUGAUCCACAAAUUAACUACACCUCAACUAACCGUGAUGUUUAAUCGCUGCAGACUGCCUUGUUUCUCUAAACGUGAUAACCGGAUCUCAAAAUGCACUCCCAAGACCGAGACUGAAUGAUGACGCAAUGAAAUCGAGAAUUGACAACUAAAUAAAAUACAAUUGUAAAUAUUACUUUAAUUUCUCUCUCUUUUAUCAUAUUAUUGUGUGAACCAAAUGCUUUUUUUUUCAUUUUAAGAUAAAAACACAUGCCCAAUUUGUAUUUUCCAUUUUAUAUAUUUUUCCCUUUUUUUUUACAUGACAAAAGGGAUUAUUACCUAAGUAAAGUUAAUUAUUCGGAAAUUAUUUUUUUAAAGUUAUGAAUCAUUUUAUUUACUUACUGCAACAUGGUUUUAAAAUUGUAUGAUUUAACAAUUUUGUUUAUUUGUGAUUUAAUUGUAUAUCAUUUAAAAAUGAAAAUAUUGUCAUAAAAACGCUUUAAUUACCCAAUGUUAUAUAUUUUAUUGUACAACACAAACGAUUUAAACAAUAUUAAUGAAAUGAAAAUGUGCACAUUUAAAUCAUUUGUAAAUAGUAUACCUGUACCUACCUAUGUGAGUUUUUUGAAAUUGUAAAUUAUCUUUUGUAAAAUUUAGAAAUAACUCGCACUUAAUAUUGUCAUUUAAUUUUGUGGAGAUUUUAAAAUGUUAUUACAAUGAUGCUCCACACUAUCUGUUCAAUCAAUAUAUAGUUAACAUAAAAUAUUAGUUUUUUAAGAAAUAUGUACGGGUCGGACUCAAUAUUUUAAGUUUAUUAAAUGACAUAUUAAUAACUUUUUUUACUAAAUUGCUUUAUAAAUAUUUAAGUAAAUGAAUUUUUAUCAUAAACAUGGUGAGUGUGAUUUAUAAUAUUUUAUUUAAUUAUCAGUGCUUUGUAGUACAACAAUUAUAUGAAUAUUUGCAAUUUAUUAUUUUUACUAAAAUGUAUACAAUUUUUUUUUUAGUUUCCUGUAUUACAUGUUAAAAUAUUUUUUAAUUUUAACUCCCCUUCUUAUUUAUGUUGUUUUUGUUUCACAUUUAAUUUAUGUGCAAAAAUUACAAUUGGGCUCAAUUAUUUUUUUCUAUUUGGGCACUGAAAUAAUGAAAAAUACGUCCGACUCCUAACAGCCAAUUUUAUUGUGAACAUAAAUUGUAUAUAAUACAAUAUUAAUAAAAAAAAACAACAUCUGGAGAGAAUUUGUUAUUAGCCCUAAGUUAUAUAUGUGAAGUAAUAAAAAUUGUGACUGUUGGGUAGAGAAUUCAUUUGCUCCAUACAGUGGUUAUCUUGAAAUGAAAAAAUCAUUAAAACAAAUAUUGAAUGAUUGUGAAAAAUAAAAAUGAAUAGUAAGGAAAUCUA
This is an RNA transcript of Adelges cooleyi (spruce gall adelgid), 2935 nucleotides long. It is a transcript of the gene named serine/threonine-protein kinase NLK, with no coding region annotated. The record is from RefSeq and is a predicted model, not a curated record. Lineage: Eukaryota; Metazoa; Arthropoda; Insecta; Hemiptera; Adelgidae. The transcript has 9 exons.